This 9584-nucleotide unclassified non-coding RNA is filed under the name Mizuhopecten yessoensis (Yesso scallop). RNAcentral's name for it is "uncharacterized LOC110446780, transcript variant X3". The record is from RNAcentral. Lineage: Eukaryota; Metazoa; Mollusca; Bivalvia; Pectinida; Pectinidae.
UCACGUGACGAGGUUGGCGACUUUCCAUCAUGAUCCUACAUAACUGUUUGUUUCGGAAGACUAAGAUUAAGAGGUUUUAGUUGAAGAACUUUGAUGUGGAUGACGAAACAAGGAUGUAACAUCUUUAUUGGUUUCUACCGUCAUGGUAGCAAAGAAACAUUUUGUGGCAAUGAUUGAACUCCAGCGUUUCACCUAUCCGACUCCAAAAUAUUUGAAUCUGGAAUAAUGGUACAUAAUACCUCUGCUGACAUAGUUUGGUGAUACACACAACAUCCUUUGCCGCCAUGGAGGAACAUAAUAGGGUGGCAGACGAAAAGUCUCUGAGGCAGGGAAUCGCAAGGAUGCGUGCGGCCAUGCUACCGUAUAUACUUGCGAAUGAGCCACAAAACUGUACCAAAGAAAUGCUUGCUUUGUCACGGGUCAUCUGUGACUUAAACAUGAAAUAUCGUGUAAUUGAUAUGGAGAAUUUGAUCCGUGAGAAUUGUGAGGAAUUAGACCAAGUGAAGAAAAUUGGAUUUGCCUUCAAUAUUCUAGAGAAAUAUGCACGACAUUUGUUGAAGCCACUGAAAAAUAGGGCAGAAAUGUGGAGAUAUGUCAAAUUUAGCAACACCUUCUUCAGGGAUCGUGUCGAUGUUAUCAAGGGAGGUCGGAAAAUAAUGAGGCAGAUGGGAUAUACAGAAGAUAUUGAGGGCGGUAUGGCAUUUCCAGAGGAUCAAGACAGUGACGCUAAUACAAUUGCCGAAAUGGUCUUUGACAUGGUACUGAUGAAGUAUGAAAUUACAAACCUUAUCCAUGGACUGCAUCCAGCACCGGAGAUACUUGUUGACCUCAUAAAGCCAUUUGCAAAAAAUGAGUUGCAAGUGUUGCAGUCGGUGAUGGACUACCGACGCAAUAACAAAGACCCGCCGGAGAAGAAGGAAGAACCAGUACACAACUUUGUGGUACCAUUAGUUAACCCUGAAAGAAUUAUACCGGCGUUUCCGGGGACCGAGGGUUAUACACCGAAUUCUGGCCUGGAAGGAUCCACCAUGGGACUACCUGGGGAGAUGAGGGGCCAGGCUCCAGGCUACAGACACCCUGGAGCACCCCACAUACCAAGCAUUGUCCAACAGGCAUGGGACUCAAGCACCUCAGAGAAUUCCGGACAGCAACAGAUAGCAGGUUCUGUUGAGGAAGCCAGCUCAGGAGUGAAGGAUGAUGACCAGUUAUGUAACAGCGUGGUGUGUGAUAUCUGCGGUAAACAGGCGCCGGAGCUGGUCUGUUCCCAGUGUGACAACAAACAGCUAUGUACAAACUGUGACCAAAGAUGGCACACGCAUCCCAAACGCAAAAACCACCAGCGUGAAGUCAUCAAGACUGGUGAGAACAGGACUGAAAGUAUGAGGGGAAUACCGUGUAGUGAGGAGUUGGGCUUGUCUGAAGCUCAAAUGCCACAUCAGAUAGGGACACCUGUUGAUGGGAUGUUGUCACAGACAGGGGUUCCUGUGACCAAUGAGACCACACCCCCUAUGAGUGUAACAGGGAUUGCACCAGCUUCUCAGGAUCCAAGUUGGAUCUCCGAGGACCCGCUUGGUGUAUCAAAUAAUGUCACUGACUUCAAUUCUGGUACCAGGGGGAACACAGAUGUCAACCAGGCAAGCCAUAGCUACAGUAAUCAAGGUCAUGAGACCCAGUCUAUGGCUACCCUACCACCACAGACUCAUCCGUCACCACCAGCUAAAGUGAGAUCCCCCAGCCUCCCCCAGCAUAAGAGUUCCAAUGCCAACGCUGCGCCUGGUGGGCCACCAACUUCCAAACUAUUGCGCAGGAUCAUGGAUAUACAGGAUCUUGAUAGGAGGGAGUCCAAGAUCCACAUUGACCUGGAAAUGCUGCACCAAGAGAUACAGGAUGUCGAGGAACGGUCCUCUGUCCUCAUUGAUGAAGGGGCAGAUUUUGAGGAUGAGGAAUACAAAAGUUUAACGAGGAGGAAAUUUAAUCUUCAGAAAGAGAAAAGGGAGAUUGAUAAAUAUUUUAAGGAAAUUUUUCCUCAUGACAAACACAAAGGAAAGGUUGAUAUUGCCAAUCAGCAUAUUUUCCGUCCCCCUAGUUCUACUCCUGGGCCCCAAAUAGAUCCUCGGGAUCCUGUUCACGGACUAAGAAUGAAUGCCAGUAUAAUAGGAAACAGUGCUGUACUCUUUGGGUCUCCGGCAUCUGCUAUGAGCUCAGUGGGUCAGCAGGGUGGAUAUGGCAGCCCAGCAGGUCAGUCCUCUGGUGCUUAUCUAACCCCGGGUCAACCUUUACAACCACCAGUGUCAAGUACAAUUGGUCAGGCUACGGGACAAAAAAUAAUGGAUGUCGCAGCUCCGAAAGCCAUGGACUCCAAUUCCAACCAAUAUACCCCAGUUACAAGGGCAGGGAGUGCAGACUUAUCACGCCAAUACACCCCGGUUCCCAUAACUACCCAUCCCUACAACAUGCCUGCACCUCAGCCACAGCAUACAUACACUAGUAUGGGAAUGCAGUACGGUCAGAAGAUGUCUCAGCCACCGAUGCCCCCAGCCCUUCCAUGUGACCAGGAAAACGGUCAACUAGAAACCCAGCAACAGGCCCCAGGGUACUCCAUAGCUCGUCCUCCGUUUGGUCCCCAGGAUAGGCCACAGGAAAACUUAGUGUCUUCCAAAUUAAAUAAUUCAGCAGAUCCAAUGGAAACAUUAGCCGUGACAGAAAACACUAUUAACGAAGGUCUACUGGAGGCUAAUAAGGAGUUGAAAAGAGAGCCACAUGUGCCAUUUAAACUGCAGAAAGUGCACUACCCCCCACAAGCUGUACCUAUAGUUCCUCCACCAGUACCAGCUCCACAACCACCUGGACUGAGAGAGGCAGAAUAUCUUCAGGCGGCUAGUGCCUCAAUGCAGGACAUCAAUUCAUCCAACCUCACCUCUACUCUGCUCAACAAACAAGUACAAAAUGAGAACAAGCCAGUGAAAAGGAGUCAAAACUAUUCCCUCCCUGCUCCAGCUAGUUCAGGAUAUCUCCCCGGAGCUGUGGCUCGGAGUAGGUCUGAGGGGGCUUCUUGUAAGUGGAUGUGUCAGCACUGCACCUUCUACAACCAACCGGAUGUUAAGGCAUGUGCCAUGUGUAGCAAGACCAGUCAGAACCCCACGUUUGUGUAUGAUGAGGACAGGGAAACUGGUGCUUCCAGCAAUUUGGCUCCAGAAACCGUUGUGGAGGACGAAGAGGAAACCAAGGUUCUGGACCGGGCAGUACGCCAUGGCCAGAUAGCAUACAAUGAAUACAGACAAGUAGAAAUUGAGAAGAGAGAGGCUCAUGAGAAAUAUCAAGAACUUCUAAGACAGGAAGAGGCAGCAAAACAAACAAUUAUUAAGAAACCUUUACCAACAGAAAUUGCUGGUUUUGUGAUGGUCGAGACACCGUCGCCCAACAUCUUAUAUCCCAAUUUAAAACCACCGGAAUUAAAACUGGAGAGAAAAUCGCCUUCUCCUCAACCAAUGACAUAUUCAAAUUCCCCUCCCCCAUCUUUUACUGGGGGAAAUAAGGAGAUGAACUUCACAGAGAAAAUGAAAGAGUUAAGAUUGAGAAAAAAACAGGAGUCAUUGAUUCAGGAAGGGCGUAGUCUAGUCAAAAUACUCAAGGAGGCUGAGAAAGCAGGCUUUGAAAUGGAAGAGAUCAGUCUCGGUUUAAACAAAUGCGAUCAGGACUUAGAGAAAACUAUCGAAUGGCUGAAAAAUGACUGGCAGAUGUCAAUUGAAACUCUCAUUACUAUGGUAACCAAUGAAGGAACUCGAAUGGAGCAAAAUGAAAUUGGAGAACUUUCCUAUCCCGAGGCCAAGAAGGCUUUGCAGGAAACCAGUGGUGAUCUUGACACAGCUGCUGCCAUCUGUAUCGCAAACAGAAGAGACAUGUAUAAGGAGAUAUCUAGUAGAGGAUACUUCGCCAGAGAGGCAGUUCUAAUGUCAAUGUUGACAAACAAAGGAGAUGUUGAGGCAGCCCUGGAUGAACUGAACCUGGCCAGUAUCCAACCUUUCUAUGAGCGAGUGUGGGCAGAGUUUGACAACGCUCCCCUGGCAGCUGGUGCCAUGGCCAGACCGCUAGACGCUCAGGACGAGACAAGUGUGACGAACAGCAUCCUCAAUCACUACGACUUCUGGGCCUCUGUUACUGAUAAGAACGUGGAUAUGAAUCGACGGGUGCGAAUGAUACUGGUGGAGGGUAAGCUUCAGAGUUGGGGCAGAGCUGAGGUAGUUAUCAAGAUUCUCGACAUAGACAUUGCCAACAAAACAGUGGAGGCCUCCCUUGCAGAAAUCGUAGAAGCUGUUAAGAACUGCCAGGAUUAUAAGAGCUCUAUCGUGUACCUUAGUCAGGAGUGUCAAAUCUGCAUGAGCAGGUUCGCCAUGAGCAGGAUUCGCAGUCUGAGUUCCUGUGAGUGUAAGAUCUGUGUAGAUUGUAUGAGGGGCUACUUUGAGGUGUGUAUCCGAGAGAAACACGUGCGUAACCUGUGCUGCCCCCUGUGUAGCCAACCAGAUAUGGAGGACUCCGAAAUGGCUACCAACUAUCUCACCUUCCUCACCAUGUUGCUGCAGACAAUUGUCAGCCAUGAGGACCUAGAACUGUACGACUCUAAGCUGAGGGACUGGAACCUUCAGAAAGAUCCCCACUUUAGAUGGUGCACGCAUUGUGGUAAUGGGUUCAUAUGGGACAGAGAGAACACCAUCGCCAUGGUGUGUCCACAGUGUCGCAAGAAAACGUGUUACAGCUGUAAGAAACAGUGGGAGGACCAACAUGAUGGUUUGAACUGUGAGGAAUUUGAACAGUGGAAGAUUGACAAUGACCCAGAAAAUCAAGCGAUGGGACUCGCCAAACACCUACAGUUAAAUGGAAUCGACUGUCCCAGCUGUAAGAUGAGGUAUGCCCUCGCCAAGGGAGGCUGUAUGCACUUCAAGUGUCCCCAGUGUGGCCAUGAGUUUUGUAGCGGCUGCUCACAGCCCUUCGUGAAACAGGGGCCGUGUGUGGGAUAUCAGCGGUGCCAGGGUAAAGGGAUACAUAGUCACCACCCGCGGGACUGCUUCUAUUAUCUCCGUGACAACAGUGUUGAGGACCUACAGAGGAUACUCAGGGACAAGAAGCUUCACUAUAAUGCUGAGGCUCAAGAUUCACAGGAUAUAGACCCAGCAUGUCCUGUGAUGGAACAGAAAGAACUUGACAGUCGUAAGAAAGACGAGCCAUGUGGACGAGAUGUUUUAAAGGGACAUGCUGGUCUUUGUAUAAAUCAUUACAAGGAAUAUCUAGUGGGGAUUCUGAACAAGAAUAAGGCUGAUCCAAUCAACAUUCUUACCCUUGAUGAGAUGAAAAAUCUCCUGGAGAGGGAAGAGAAGAACAUCCCACCACAAAAGGAAGGGGAGAGAGACACACAAUACAGAAGGCGUCUCGCCUCGUACAUUAAAGAGAAGUUGCCAAUAAGACGACCCAGGUAGUCAGUAGUAGAACUCACCCACAGUCCUGCACAAUUCAGCACUGAUAGACAUUUGAAGACAUGUAGCCUCAGAUAUCCAAGGACAGACAACCAAGGGUACACGAUACCAACAGCCAAGGACACAGAUCCUAACACAUGGCAGAGGACACAGGCACUGACAGGUGACCCAGGACACAGGUUCUGACAAGUGAUCCAGGACACAGGCUCUGACAGGUGACCCGAGACACAGGUUCUGACAGGUCACCCAGGACAAAGGCUCUGACAAGUGACCAAGGACAAAGGCUCUGACAAGUGACCAAGGACAAAGGUACUUACACGGGACCUAGGACACAGGUUCUGAGACAUGACCGAGGACACAGGUUCUGACAGGUGACCUAGGACACAGGUACUGAUAUGUGAACCAGGACACAGGUUCUGACACAUGACCUAGGAAGCAGGCUCUGACACAUGACCCAGGACACAGGCUCUGAUACAUGACCCAGGACGCAGGCUCUGACACAUGACCCAGGACACGGAUUCUGACACAUGACCCAGGACACUGGUUCUGACAGGUGACCCAGGACACAGGCUCUGACAGGUGACCUAGGACAUAGGUACUGGCAGGUGACCCAGGACACAGGCUAUGACAGGUGACCAAGGACAAAGGUACUUACACGGGACCUAGGACACAGGUUCUGACAGGUGACCCGAGACACAGGUUCUGACAGGUGACCCAAAACACAGGCUCUGACAAGUGACCAAAGACAAAGGUACUUACACGGGACCUAGGACACAGGUUCUGAGACAUGACCUAGGACACAGGUUCUGACAGGUGACCUAGGACACAGGUACUGACAGGUGAACCAGGACACAGGUUCUGACAGGUGAUCCAGGACACAGGUACUGACAGGUGACCCAGGACACAGGCUCUGACAGGUGACCCGGACACAGGUUCUGACAGGUGACCUAGGACACAGGCUCUGACAAGUGACCCAGGACACAGGUACUUACACGGGACCUAGGACACAGAUUCUGAGACAUGGCCCAGUACACAGGUUCCCUAGGACACAGGUACUGACAGGUGAUCCAGGACACAAGUGAUGACACGUGACCCAGGACACAGGUUAUGACAUGUGACCUAGGACACAGAUACUGACAGGUGAACCAGGACACAGGUUUUGACAUGUGAACCAGGACACAGGUUCUGACACAUGACCCAGGACGCAGGCUCCGACAGGUGAACAAGGAAUCGGGUAUUUUACCAGCUGGCAUUUGGUUCUGAAGUAGAUGGCUGAUUACACAGGUCAUUAGAGCCAAGGACACAGUUUGGAACUUAAAUCCAAGGAGACAAGUUCCAUAAUCACAGUCAGCCCGAGAACAGGUACUCAGAGUUUUGGGGCUCUGAUCACGCAGUCCCUGCCAUAGUACCACUUGAUUACAAGUCCUGCCGACACCAACACCUUGAAUUACCAUGCUGUCUCGAAAGCCUCCGUAUAAUGCUAGUAUGAUGGGACACGAUUUUGUGAAAUAGGUGUGAUAUACCCAAAUACAGGUUCUGGUUUAUAAGCGAUGCUGUUACUCAACUUCUUGGAAUGUGAGGAAAGCCUUUGAUUUACCUUAAUUAUCAACAUUCCACUUCACUUGAGAAAUUAUGAUAAUUAUCAUAUAUCUGUAAAUAUGUUAAAAAAAAUGUAAAUAUAUAUAUAUGCACAUCAGUCUUCUACACAAAGUCUUCUUUUCAAUUUACAUAUCAAGUGGAUUAUGUUGUAUAGGUACAGUACAUGUUAUACUAUUUUACCAUUUCAUGUACAUUAUGAUUAAUAUAUAUGUAAUUACAUUGAAAAUAUACAAUGUAUGUAAUUACAGUUAACAUAAGUAAUUACAUUUUAGUUGAAUAUGUAAUUACUUUUACAUGUACAUACAUAUGCAAAUACAUUUACCUGAAUACUAGGGUAUGUGUUUUUUUCUCUAUAUAUGUGUAUGUAAUUUUAUUUUAAAUCAAUGAAAUAUUUUUUUCUGGGUAUUAAUACUUUUAUUUACAAAUGAUGGAAGUAGUCUGGACCUGACUGUAGCUUUGUAGUCUUUGGUAGAAAAGCAGGACUUGUGAGUUGGUACUUGUCCUGCCUAUAUCACUACACAGGCAGAAUUUCUUGAUGUCAAUUUGACCUGAAAAUAUCCUUACCUGAACUUGACUUGAAUUUCAGGUCAAUUUCACAUGAAAAUUUAUAUUAAUGUGCAUUCAGGUGAAAUUCAUGUCAAUUCAUGUCAAAUUAACCUUUAGUUAUGACCUGAAAAUGACAUUAAGAUUUUUUGCCUGGCUAAGAUAUUCCUAAAAUCUCUUUGAUUUAUUUUUGUUUUAUCUAUACUCAGAUUCAAGUCGUUUCACCCUUCGUCUAAAACAUCUCCCUGUAACUCUUUACAAUGUCAAUUUGUUUCUGUACCUCACAUUUUGUGGUGAUAAGAUUUAUACUGAAAGUCACCAUUUUUUUUUGCGUUCUGCUUGUCUGCUUAAUUUCUGUUAAUGUGAUAUUGUACUGACAAUGUAGGUUCAUUGAUAAACACUGGCGAGACAUUAACACAAGGUCAAAAUCUUAAAUAACCCAAUCUGUCAAAUGCCAUGCCUUCCAUGCCCUUGGUCACCUCGACACUGAGUUCCUUUAUAACUAUAUUGUAAUAUAUCAAAGAAUCUCAAUCGGUAAUGAAAUACCUUACUAUGAUUUAAGUAGUACAGUACCUUAACUUGUUCACCCCUUAAAUGUCAUGAUGGACUAUACAGACGUUUGAAAUGGAAGAGUUCAAAUGUGUUUUCAGGGGUGAACUGUGAUUUAAACUGUCCUUUUGUUUGGUAAGGCAAGGAAGAUUUUUUCUUUUUUUUGACAGUCAAUCAAAGUCAUUCAACUACGCAAGGAUCAUUUUGCUCUCCUUUUAAAAAAAAAGAUGUUUUCGUUUAAGUCCUCUUUAUGACUGCAUUGAAUUUGUACAUGUAUUCAAAUGGAUCCACUAAGACUGAACGUUAUAUUGAUCUUUCUGGGACUGAGAAUGACAUUUUUAUCAGCAUUAUAUAUGUGGUAGAAGUUUUGUGAUGGACGCUCUAUGACGUCUGUCAAAGUUAUAUGAUAACGAAAUAUGAUAUUUAGAUUUGCGAUUGAAGUGCCUUACCUUGAUGUGAUAAUGAAUUUGAAUCACAACAAUUGUUGAAGUGUUACCUGGCUGCAAUGUCACCAAUUUUAGGCCUACCAUAAGCUGAGUUUUAAUUCAAGUUUCUGUGUUAAGUCUAUCUGGAUCCAGUUCCAUGAGAGUUCUUUUUAACUUACGGAAAUUCCACUGGAAAGCAUUGACGGAGGUGAGGUAAAACCUUCUGGAAGUUUUUCCUCAACUUCUGCUGUUCUUUCUGAUAUGUAUCUUCUAAGGUAAAGAUUUCCCCUCAUGAAAAGAAUGCUCUUGCACCUGGGGAGAAUUUUAAUUCUAAUUUAAUCUACCUUUGGUGUUUGGCAAUGAGUAUCCCAAACCCAAAAUCAGAGGGUUGUCAACAAAUAGGGACAGGAAUUUGAAAUUUCUUCCAACUGUAGGGAAGAUAGAGAGAUUACGAAGGGACAGGACUUGUAUAUCUGUCUUCCAGUUUAUACGACAAUGCUCUGAGUAAAGAAAUUAUAUCAUCCGUUGACUCGUAGUUUAACUUUGUUGUUUGUUUUACAGUGAACCAAAAUGCUGUAUAGAAUGUGAUAUCAUGAAUUUAUCAUCUUACCUACAAGUUCAUAAAUUGAGGCUGCCAACCCAACCUCUUGGCAUCAGGAAUACUCUCUUAUUUGUCACCGGCAUCUGGAAUAUUCUCUAAUUUUGGGAAUAACAGUACUUGAAUUAAUUUCAUUGCUAAAAUUGGUGUAUGGAUUCUUCCCGCACCUUGGUGUUUCAUAUACUACUUUAAUUCAUUCACCCCUUAAGACAUGAACUUUUCUGAUUUAAAGGUUGGAAUAGUUCAUUAUAAAAUUUCAGGGUUGACUGACUUAAUUAUUUACCAGCAAUCUGGUGUACGGAUUUAGGGUUGGCAGCACCUCGUAUCGUCCCAGAGGUUUAACAUAUUGAAAUAACUAUGAUGUUCUGUAUAAUUUAAAAUGAAAAUAAAAGUUAAAAAUGA